Non-coding RNA from Paramuricea clavata, 114 nucleotides. The record is from the annotation of a GenBank genome assembly. NCBI's taxonomy places the organism in Eukaryota, Metazoa, Cnidaria, Anthozoa, Malacalcyonacea, Plexauridae.
UUUAUACGUCGAUUUUUGGUCGCGUCGAAUGCAUUUAAUGAUAAACCUCAUGCAUUAAGCUUCAUUAUCUAUUGUUUCAAUUGCAUUCGACGCGACCGAAAUUCGACGUAUAAA